GACGAACGCUGGCGGCGUGCUUAACACAUGCGAGUCGAACGGUAAGGCCCUUCGGGGUACACGAGUGGCGAACGGGUGAGUAACACGUGGGUGAUCUGCCCUGCACUUCGGGAUAAGCCUGGGAAACUGGGUCUAAUACCGGAUAGGACCACUGCCUGCAUGGGUGGUGGUGGAAAGCUUUUGCGGUGUGGGAUGGGCCCGCGGCCUAUCAGCUUGUUGGUGGGGUAAUGGCCUACCAAGGCGGCGACGGGUAGCCGGCCUGAGAGGGUGACCGGUCACACUGGGACUGAGAUACGGCCCAGACUCCUACGGGAGGCAGCAGUGGGGAAUAUUGCACAAUGGGCGCAAGCCUGAUGCAGCGACGCCGCGUGAGGGAUGACGGCUUUCGGGUUGUAAACCUCUUUCAGCUAUGACGAAGCGCAAGUGACGGUAGUAGCAGAAGAAGGACCGGCCAACUACGUGCCAGCCGCCGCCGUAA
Molecule: ribosomal RNA, 478 nt
Filed under: uncultured bacterium
Lineage: Bacteria
Description: partial 16S ribosomal RNA
Rfam family: Bacterial small subunit ribosomal RNA
Source: RNAcentral